Non-coding RNA from Westerdykella ornata, 82 nucleotides. Lineage: Eukaryota; Fungi; Ascomycota; Dothideomycetes; Pleosporales; Sporormiaceae. The record is from the annotation of a RefSeq genome assembly.
GGUGAGAUGGCCGAGCGGUCUAAGGCGCUAGCUUCAGGUGCUAGUCAUGAAAAUGGCGUGGGUUCGAAUCCCACUCUCAUCA